This 253-nucleotide ribosomal RNA is filed under the name uncultured bacterium. RNAcentral describes it as "partial 16S ribosomal RNA". It matches the Rfam family "Bacterial small subunit ribosomal RNA", at positions 524 to 776 of the family's 1533-position model. The record is from RNAcentral.
UACGAAGGGGGCUAGCGUUGCUCGGAAUCACUGGGCGUAAAGCGCACGUAGGCGGCUUUUUAAGUCAGGGGUGAAAUCCUGGAGCUCAACUCCAGAACUGCCUUUGAUACUGAGAGUCUCGAGUCCGGGAGAGGUGAGUGGAACUGCGAGUGUAGAGGUGAAAUUCGUAGAUAUUCGCAAGAACACCAGUGGCGAAGGCGGCUCACUGGCCCGGUACUGACGCUGAGGUGCGAAAGCGUGGGGAGCAAACAGG